UCCUGCUCCAUCUUCUGGCUCUCUUCUAGCAUCGUUUACAAAGUAGCAUUCUUGGGUCUGUAUGGACACGACUGAAACGUGACCAGCCCUCUGCAACCACGAUGAUAUCGCCACAAUGCAGAACUGCUGCAGGCCUCAGAAGCCUAAAGUUAGGAUUAACAUUUGACCUUUGAUGUAAUGCCAUCUGCUCUGCUGCUCACCAGAGAGUAAACGUCCAUCACCGUCGAGGGAGUCUGAACGUCCUGCUCCUUGGGCCGUAACAGAGUAGGGAUAACAGUGAAGAUUUUUUUUUCUUUUGCAAGUAAAAUGAAACACAUUUUUUGAACUUGUUUAUACUGUGAACAACAUCAAUUUCUUUGAGCUUGUCAAAUAUGUUAGGGCUUGUAUUUACAAAAACAUUUACAAAGUGUGUUUUUGGGUGGUGUGUUUUUUGGGUGGUCAAAAUAAUUUGACUAAUGAAUGAUGGCACAAGGGUUGACUCCUCUGUGUGAUCACUCACUGGAAUCAAAUCAAAUCAGGUCUUACUUGUCACAUCAUUUUCAAAGUCUUUAUUUACAUCUGACUUUAGUAAAAUAAUACACGAAAAGGAAAAAGCAGAUAUCAACUACUUGUGUUGAUAAACAAUAAAUACAUAAAAAAUCUAAACUA
Molecule: long non-coding RNA, 648 nt
Organism: Electrophorus electricus (electric eel)
Lineage: Eukaryota; Metazoa; Chordata; Actinopteri; Gymnotiformes; Gymnotidae
Source: RefSeq, a predicted model, not a curated record